GGAGCCAAGUGUAAGAUCUGGAAAAGGCUUGUGCAUGGAAAUAUGACCAGACUGCCGUCUGAUUUCAUUAAAGAGCAUAGAUAGUACCGCGAAAGCACUGAUUCCCUUGCCCUGGGAGGAUGCUCAAGUGUUUGUGAUAACUUUUGUGUUCUUCAACCAAAAGAUCAGAUUGGCAAGAACAGGCCCUGGAGAGGCAUGGUGUAGGCCUGUUGGAACAACAAGGGGCUGCCCUUGUGAGGUAAGAAUAUGAAAAGCACAAGGAUUUUUAUGGGUGUUUGCUGCCUGUGCUCGACUCGCCCGACCUUGGGGUGCUGUCAUCCACAAUUACAAGGCACUUGCUGUUCUGAAUGGAAACAGAGACAGAUCUCUUGGGAAGUGCUAAUAUUAUUUCUAAGUUUAAAACAUGAGCCCUAACACCUCAUACAAGAGACAACAGAGGAUGAAUUGUGGUCUGUGGCUAGAGCACCUGUUUUUAGCAGAGCAGUGUGGCAACGCUUACUUAAAACUAAGAAUAACCCCAUGUCAGGCAUGCUUUUAAAGGGUGGAUUGGGGUGUAUAGGAUAUGUGAGAAUUGGUUGAGAAGGGGCUGACCACUUAUUUUGUUUUUGAUUAUUUAAGUGAAAACUGUCCCCAAGUGUGGGAGCCCUUGCUGCUUGGGGCACGGUCUUGUGUAGGUGUAAUCUCUGAGUUUUAACUUCCACUGUGACGGUCAGCUGUGCGGGCUACCCUGUGGUAAGAGAGCCUUCAAUAUGCUGUUUUUCUUAAAGGAAUUACUGUUUCUAGGGUUUGGACCUAUCAAGUCCAGACACGGUCCUCUAUCUCAGAAAGUCCAUCAGAGAUCUUUUAGGUUUUUAAACCCAAACCUGGCUUGUGCUGUCAGUGCCAUAACUGCUAAGCUGUGAUUUGUUUGCUCGCUGUCCUGGAGAGCUGUGCUGUAUCUUUCUUCUGAGCACCCAGCCUGUUUGUGGAACUGUGAAAGUUCUUAGGGAGCAGAGAUGAUAAAGGUUAUUUAACUAGCACUUGCCCUCAUACUGGUUUCUACAGGUUCAGUAUUUAUAGAGCACUUAAACGCUUCAUAAUAUAUGCCUCUGAAUUAAUACAGUUGUGCUGGACUCGAAUCUGCUGUUGCUGUUUAUUACCUUGGGUGUUGAACUUCUCCGCAUGCCUGUUUAAGCACUUGGGCCACUGUGGAGCGUGGUUGGCAGGUGUUGGAGCUAAACCCAACACCUGGUUGGGUUUAGGUUGGCGAAACUCCCUCCAGGAAGAGCCCGAAACUCCUUGUGUCACCUACACCUUUAACGUCGCCCUUCAUCUCCGCAACAGGAUUGCUACUCCCUACCUCCUCCUAGCUGUAUCCUCCACCUUCUUGUUUUCCAUUGCCUCAGCACAUGAUGCCUGCCUGCCUCCAAGGUCUGGGUCCCUCUGUGUCUUUCCUCCAGUGUGUGCAUACCUAUGUACAGGCUUCGAAAGCCCCAUAUCCUCAUCCCUUUUUUCAGUGUUUGGCAUUGGCACCUCAGCACUGCACUUGGCUGGGGGCAGCUCUCGUUUCCAGGCCAAACUGCGUGUUUGCAACUUACUGGCCUCUUUGGCUCUAGGAUCCAGUGUGCUUGGUGCAGCGAAUAGCCCUGACUUGUGACUGCAGAUCAGUUGUUCCUGUGAUCAGGUCCCCCAGAGCAGGAGCAAGGCUGUGGCAUUGCAGUGCUGACAGGGAGUACGUGCUUUCUGACGGAGCCCUGCUUUUAAAGAAGACACGUAAUGUGUUUCACUAUUGUACUCUAGUCCUGCCACCCCAAACUGAUGGUAUGACAGAGGGCUCCUUUGAAAGAGCUUGAGAGCGCCCAGGUAGCUGAGUUGCACUUCCCUAUGCCACCCUGUGCUACAUGAACAGGAAUUUAUUCACAGGCAUUUCCACCAUUACAAAAACUAUUUAAAAUUCAGGGUUAAUUCAUGUAUCCACCUUUCUCAAAGAGCAGUGGGGGAUCUCUAGCAGGCUAGUGAUUUACAGAGGAAGUCAUCAGCACCAAUCUUCUGGGUGGGUUUAGUUUUCCAUAUCCCAGCAAAUUUUAAUCAUUAUGAGCAGUGUGUUAAAUGUAUUGUGUGAUAUAUUGCCCUUUUCCUCCUUAUACAGCAUGUAUGUUUGCCCCUCUUUCUGCCCUCUGUAUUUCUGUUGCUUGUUAUUUGAAACAGAAGGUUAAUAACUUGGAGCCUGAAGGCACACAGCCAGGAACUGAUCCAAGCUCUACUGGAUUUGAAAAAAAACAACCUCUAAUCCUUGCUAAACUGUCACAGUUUGCAGCCUCUGUUCCUAGAGAGAUUCAGCCUCAACAAUGAAAGCCAAAGACUGGUAUAUCUUGGUAAAUCCGAGUAAUCUCUAAGACUAAGGGAGGGGCAAUGGAGAUCAGCACUUUGGGAGAAAGCGCAGCACCCCCUGAUGUGCUUUGGGGGUAGGAGACAGGAGACAUUGGCAGUCGCUGUUUUCCUGCCAGCCUGUGAAGCCUUGAGUUCAUUUUGCUGCAGUCAAGCCCUCACAGGGGGCCCUGCUGAGCUGCACAAGUGAAAUACUAGCUGUAGUGGGAGAGGAAGAUGCCCAGGUUUCCUGGGGGUCAUCUGCUGGGAAUUGCGUAUUUCCUAUUCAAGUUAAUUUUGGAAGAGCACAAAUUAACCUUGCCUCAUGAACAAAAGCCAUUUGUGAGUGUUUCCUGCAAGGGAGCUGGCUGUCUGCUCGGUUCCGUGUGCAGCCUUUCCUCCAUAGGCUCUGGUGAUGUUACGGAAAGGCUUAUAAAAAGAAAAAAGGCUGCUUAACUAGUGGUCAAGGUGGUUGUGGGCCUUGGCUGCAGAGCAUUUAGCCUCCACUGACAGAUGGUGAGAGGAUACCCACACAGCCAGGGUGCCGCUUCCUGAAUUUGGGGAGGCUGCAGAGGUGCCCUGGAUGGUACCUGGGAGCAUGAACCAGCCCAGGCAGGAGUCAGGUUUUGGACCAGUGGAAAGUUUGUGACAAGGGAAAAAUUCAAACCAGGCUGCUGGACAGAUCUGUACACACACCUAAUAAAGGCUUUUUAAAACA
Molecule: non-coding RNA, 3064 nt
Organism: Struthio camelus australis
Lineage: Eukaryota; Metazoa; Chordata; Aves; Struthioniformes; Struthionidae
Source: RefSeq, a predicted model, not a curated record